GAGUUUGAUCAUGGCUCAGAUUGAACGCUGGCGGAAUGCUUUACACAUGCAAGUCGAGCGGCAGCGCGGGGCAACCUGGCGGCGAGCGGUGAACGGGUGAGUAAUGCAUCGGAACAUGUCCAUGUCGUGGGGGAUAGCCCGGCGAAAGCCGGAUUAAUACCGCAUAUGCCCGAGAGAGGAAAGUGGGGGACCGCAAGGCCUCACGCGAUUGGGUUGGCCGAUGUCCGAUUAGCUAGUUGGCGGGGUAAGAGCCCACCAAGGCGAUGAUCGGUAGCUGGUCUGAGAGGAUGAUCAGCCACACUGGGACUGAGACACGGCCCAGACUCCUACGGGAGGCAGCAGUGGGGAAUUUUGGACAAUGGGGGAAACCCUGAUCCAGCCAUUCCGCGUGAGUGAAGAAGGCC
Molecule: ribosomal RNA, 404 nt
Filed under: uncultured beta proteobacterium
Lineage: Bacteria; Pseudomonadati; Pseudomonadota; Betaproteobacteria
Description: bacterial SSU rRNA
Rfam family: Bacterial small subunit ribosomal RNA
Source: RNAcentral